CCUACGGGAGGCAGCAGUGAGGAAUAUUGGUCAAUGGACGAGAGUCUGAACCAGCCAAGUAGCGUGAAGGAUGACUGCCCUAUGGGUUGUAAACUUCUUUUAUAAAGGAAUAAAACGAGGCACGUGUGCCUUUUUGCAUGUACUUUAUGAAUAAGGAUCGGCUAACUCCGUGCCAGCAGCCGCGGUAAUACGGAGGAUCCGAGCGUUAUCCGGAUUUAUUGGGUUUAAAGGGAGCGUAGAUGGGUUGUUAAGUUAGUUGUGAAAGUUUGGGGCUCAACCGGAAAAUUGCAAUUGAUACUGGCAGUCUUGAGUGCAGUUGAGGUAGGCGGAAUGCGUGGUGUAGCGGUGAAAUGCUUAGAUAUCACGCAGAACUCCGAUUGCGAAGGCAGCUUACUAAACUGUCACUGACAUUGAUGCUCGAAAGUGUGGGUAGCAAACAGGAUUAGAUACCCUAGUAGUC
This 460-nucleotide ribosomal RNA is filed under the name uncultured bacterium. RNAcentral's name for it is "partial 16S ribosomal RNA". It matches the Rfam family "Bacterial small subunit ribosomal RNA", at positions 338 to 795 of the family's 1533-position model. The record is from RNAcentral.